Ricinus communis (castor bean) is the source of this 2238-nucleotide RNA transcript. It is a transcript of the gene named glutathione reductase, chloroplastic, with no coding region annotated. Lineage: Eukaryota; Viridiplantae; Streptophyta; Magnoliopsida; Malpighiales; Euphorbiaceae. The transcript has 11 exons. The record is from RefSeq and is a predicted model, not a curated record.
ACGGUCUAGAAAUCUUCUCAUUCUACAACCCCCGAAAGGUAUAUUUAUUUCUCUUCACAGAAAAUCCCACCAAUAUUUUUUCUUUUUAAAAAAAAAUGGCAGCUACAUCUCUGACUACACCUAAGCUAACUUCUGCUACUUCUCUUCAAUCCCUCUAUAGAAAACUCCCCGUUACAAUCCCAAUCCCAAUCCCUCUCUCUUCCUCCUCUCUAUCUCUUUCCAAAACCCUGACCUUUCUCUCUCCUUCUCGCCGCUUCGCUCUCCCUCUCCACCGCCGUCACUUCUCUGUUAUCCGCGCGGACUCCGGUAAUGGCGCCGAACCUUCUCGCCGCUAUGAUUUCGACCUUUUCACCAUCGGCGCCGGCAGCGGUGGCGUCCGUGCCUCCCGCUUCGCCUCCAAUUUCGGUGCUUCUGUUGCUGUCUGCGAGCUUCCUUUCUCUACUAUAUCUUCCGACACCACCGGUGGCGUCGGCGGCACAUGUGUUUUACGUGGAUGCGUCCCGAAGAAGCUGCUUGUGUAUGCGUCGAAAUAUUCGCAUGAGUUUGAUGAGAGUAAUGGAUUUGGAUGGACUUAUGCGACUGAACCGAAGCACGAUUGGUCUACUUUAAUGGCUAAUAAAAAUGCUGAGUUGCAGCGUCUUACUGGAAUUUAUAAAAAUGUUUUAAAGAAUGCUGGUGUCACUUUAAUUGAGGGUCGCGGAAAGAUUGUAGACCCUCACACGGUUGAUGUUGAUGGGAAAACUUAUUCAGCAAGGCACAUAUUAAUUUCAGUUGGGGGGCGUCCAUUUAUUCCUGAAAUUCCAGGAAGUGAAUAUGCAAUAGAUUCAGAUGCUGCCCUUGAUUUGCCAUCAAAGCCUGAGAAAAUUGCAAUAGUUGGUGGCGGUUACAUUGCCUUGGAGUUUGCUGGUAUAUUUAAUGGAUUGACAAGUGAUGUCCAUGUAUUUAUACGACAGCAAAAAGUAUUGAGGGGCUUUGAUGAUGAGAUCAGAGAUUUUGUUGCAGAACAAAUGUCUCUGAGAGGGAUUGAAUUCCACACUGAGGAGUCACCUCAGGCUAUUAUUAAAGCAGCAGAUGGUUCUCUUUCGCUGAAGACCAACAAAGGAACGGUUGAAGGCUUCUCCCAUAUCAUGUUUGCAACAGGACGUAGGCCUAACACAAAGAACUUGGGAUUGGAGACAGUGGGAGUAAAGAUGAACAAGAAUGGAGCGAUAGAGGUUGAUGAAUACUCACAGACAUCAGUUCCUUCCAUUUGGGCAGUUGGUGAUGUUACAGAUAGGGUGAAUUUGACUCCAGUUGCUUUAAUGGAAGGGGGAGCAUUAGCCAAAUCUCUGUUUCUGAAUGAGCCAACAAAACCCGAUUACAGAGCAAUUCCGUCUGCCGUGUUUUCACAACCGCCAAUAGGGAAUGUUGGUCUCACUGAAGAGCAGGCUGUAAAAGAAUAUGGUGACAUCGAUGCCUUCACAGCAAACUUCAGGCCUUUGAAGGCAACUCUCUCAGGGCUUCCAGAUAGGGUUUUCAUGAAAUUAAUAGUCUCUGCAAAGACAGGCAAAGUUCUGGGCCUGCACAUGUGUGGUGAAGAUGCACCAGAAAUUGUGCAGGGAUUUGCAGUUGCAAUAAAAGCUGGUUUGACUAAGGCAGAUUUUGAUGCUACAGUAGGUAUUCACCCAAGCGCAGCUGAGGAAUUUGUCACUAUGAGGACUCCUACACGAAAAAUACGAGCAGAUCCUCCAUCCGAGGGAACGACAGAUCAUGAGGUUAAAGCUGCAGCAGGAGUUUAGUUGGUGUAUUGCUGUAUUAUACAGCAACUCCUUUAUGGUGCGGAUGGUUUCGUACAACUUAUUUUACAUAUUAAUGGUUGUACUGUGAAAAAGUUGCGGAACAGUGACCUGGAUGCUGCCAUGUGGUGAUGAUGAUGCCUAAAUGGUAGGCUUGUCCUGUUGGGAGGAAUGAGCGAAAGAGUUCAGCUGUUUAGAAGGAGCAAGGAGCGUGUAUCAUAAUCAUAUGGAUGGCUUCCAAACAUGAGAAUGAGGAGCAGCGACUGGAACUGAGAUCCUUUUUGAAAUAUUUUUGGUCGUAAUUUAUUUCUUUUUGCUUUCACAGAAAACACUUUUUCAUUAGUUACACUUAUAGAUGAAUAAUGUAUUUCUCCUUCCCUCUCCAUCCAUGCUUGGUGUGCUGGUAAAUUUGUUAUUGCUGCUUACAUGCUUUUAUUAAAUUCUGGCCCGAAUGCUUUUGGAA